GACGAACGCUGGCCGCGUGCUUAACACAUGCAAGUCGAACGGAAAGGCCCUGCUUUUGUGGGGUGCUCGAGUGGCGAACGGGUGAGUAACACGUGAGUAACCUGCCCUUGACUUUGGGAUAACUUCAGGAGACUGGGGCUAAUACCGGAUAGUAGCUCCUGCUGCGUGGUGGGGGUUGGAAAGUGUCGGCGGUUGGGGAUGGACUCGCGGCUUAUCAGUUUGUUGGAGGGGUAGUGGCUUACCAAGGCUUUGACGGGUAGCCGGCCUGAGAGGGUGACCUGCCACAUUGGGACUGAGAUAAGGCCCAGAGUCCUAUGGGGGGCCGCAGUGGGGGAUAUUGUACAAUGGGCGGAAGCUUGAUGCAGCAAGGCAGUGUGCGGGAUGACGGCAUUCGGGUUGUAAACCCCUUGCGCCUGUGCAGAAGCGUGCUUGACGUCACUGGGUAAAGAAGCCCCGGCUAACUACGUG
Molecule: ribosomal RNA, 468 nt
Filed under: uncultured bacterium
Lineage: Bacteria
Description: partial 16S ribosomal RNA
Rfam family: Bacterial small subunit ribosomal RNA
Source: RNAcentral